AUGCUUAACACAUGCAAGUCGAACGGCAGCGCAGUCGUAGCAAUACGAUGGGCGGCGAGUGGCGGACGGGUGAGGAACACAUCGGAAUCUGCCCGGUUGUGGGGGAUAACGUAGGGAAACUUACGCUAAUACCGCAUACGAUCGAGAGAUGAAAGCGGGGGACCGUAAGGCCUCGCGCAGUCGGAUGAGCCGAUGUCGGAUUAGCUAGUUGGUGGGGUAAAGGCCUACCAAGGCGACGAUCCGUAGCUGGUCUGAGAGGAUGAUCAGCCACACUGGGGCUGAGACACGGCCCAGACUCCUACGGGAGGCAGCAGUGGGGAAUAUUGGACAAUGGGGGCAACCCUGAUCCAGCAAUGCCGCGUGUGUGAAGAAGGCCUUCGGGUUGUAAAGCACUUUUAUCCGGAACGAAACGUGUUGGGUUAACAACCCGGCAAACUGACGGUACCGGAGGAAUAAGCACCGGCUAACUUCGUGCCAGCAGCCGCGGUAAUACGAAGGGUGCAAGCGUUACUCGGAAUUACUGGGCGUAAAGGGUGCGUAGGUGGUUUUUUAAGUCUGCUGUGAAAUCCCCGGGCUCAACCUGGGAAUGGCAGUGGAUACUGGAAAGCUGGAGUGCGGUAGAGGGUAGUGGAAUUCCCGGUGUAGCAGUGAAAUGCGUAGAGAUCGGAAGGAACACCAGUGG
RNAcentral lists this ribosomal RNA (682 nucleotides) under uncultured bacterium. RNAcentral describes it as "bacterial SSU rRNA". It matches the Rfam family "Bacterial small subunit ribosomal RNA", at positions 44 to 715 of the family's 1533-position model. The record is from RNAcentral.